Long non-coding RNA from Bubalus bubalis (water buffalo), 1960 nucleotides. RefSeq lists it as uncharacterized. The record is from RefSeq and is a predicted model, not a curated record. The transcript is spliced from 7 exons. Lineage: Eukaryota; Metazoa; Chordata; Mammalia; Artiodactyla; Bovidae.
UACCCUAUUCUGUUUCCCUCAUUCCACAGGUCUCACCUGAAAGUACGCUCUCAAGAAAUCACAUGAUGAGAACUUUCAUCUCAGGCUGUGUGUCUAAGGAACCCAACUUACAGCAAAGAGCAACACCACAGCAGUCUCCGCUGUCCAGAAGCCCGUUUAUGGUCAAGGGUACUGACACAUAAACAGGAACCAGUACUCCCUUAGCAUACCUCAGUCAGUGGGAGAUUACUGAGGCAUACCUGUGGCAAUAAGAAGGAGACACAUCAUACCAUCUGGAACAGUGGCCUCACAUCUCAGUCUAGGAACAGACACCUGGUUGGAGCUCCUUAAGUGGCAGGCGUAAGUAAGGAAGUGAAGCAGAGGUGCAGCAGACUUCUCCGGGAAGUGCUCUCCUUCUGAAACUAAGCAAGGAGCUCUAGGAGCGAAGCUCUUGACCCUGGUGGUGAUGCAGCUAUGAUGUGCCCUGGACCUCUUCCCCAGUCCAAGUCCUCUGUAUGUUGCUCAGUGAUAUGGGAGGAGGAGACCUGAAUCAGAAAACCUGGUUCCCAUGCCUGCCCUGCUGUUUUCCUGCUGUGUGACAUUGGGCAACCAGAUAUAGCCUCUGAGCCUCAUCUAUAAAAUGGGGUCACAAACGGAACAAAACCAAGCAUCAGACCUUAUGUGGUAAAUGCGGUACUGCACUGCCCACAUCCCGCUUCAGGACUGAGGCCCACAGAAAGAGCUCCAGAUAUGUUUCUAAUGAGCAGCCAUGUUUAAAAACAACUGGACUCGAUGAGAAUGGUCCUAGGGAACAGAAUUUUUAAAAAGCGUUUUGAAACUGGAUCACCAGCCUGUUACCUGGAAAUGAAAGCCUCAUCACUAGCAGUGGGUGGGAUACUCAUAGUUCUUGGUUUUUCUGUUGUGUUUUUAAAAUGAUGUAGUGUUUUAUUAUCAUCAAUUGUUCUAUUAACGAUUGAGAGGGGUGUUGAUAUCUCUACUACAUAUUGGAUUUAUAUGUUUAUCCAUUCAAUUCUAUCAUUUUUUUCAUGUUCUGCUAUUAAGUGCAUGCACAUGUAGGCUUGGUAUAGCUUCUUGAGAAUUAACCUUUUUAUCAUUAUAAAUAAUCCUGGCUGUAUAUUUUAUCCUGAGUAAGAAUUUUGUUUCUUUGUAUACUUUGCCUCACUUUGGCUAGGUCAGCAAUCUAUAUGUGUGUGUUCUCAGUUAUUCAGUUAUUUCCAACCCUUUGUGACCCUAUGGACUGCAGCCCAUAUGAGUCAAUAAACUUUAUUUUCGGUCUCAACCAUAUUUGCAAUAGGUUUAUUUUCUCCUCCCUUGUUCAGGACCCCAUUUAGUUAUAUCUUUUUUGAAGCUUCUGAAGACAAAAUUUGUUAUCACCUCUGGCAAUCAUACUGAGCAUGGAAUCCACUGAGUACAUAUUGCAUGCAUUCUAAUUUUAUUGAGCAUGAUUGCAUGCAUUUGUUUUACUUGUGGAUUGGCUGCUCUUGGGUUAGUCAUCAGUUGUCCAAAAUAGGUAGAAGGUGGGAUCAUGUGAUAUAAUAUGACUGUCCAGGGAUAUUCCUUGAUAAGGGCCUAUGGAUGUACCACUCCCUUGAUGAGAAGUAGAGAACAUAUACACCAUUGAUGACAAAAUGUAAGGUCUCUCACCACAAGUUACCUCCUUGAAGAGGCAUUCCCUAAUCUUUCCAACUAUAAGAGAAUCCCUUCCCAUUCCCUUAUUCUGCUUUUUCUCUGUAACAAUAAUCAUUAUGUAACAGUUAAUAAAAUGUAUAGAUGUUUUUAAAAUUUCUAUCUCCCCAAGUAGAAUGUAAGCUCUGUGAAGCCGAGAGACUUCCUCAAGUUUGUCACCCCUCUAGUCUUAGGGUCCAGUGCAGUAUCUGUCAUACUGAAAUGUGCUCAGUUUUUUUCUGAAAUAAAUGAGUGAAUGAACAAGUAAAUCAAUCACUAUACAUUUUAAAAAUGA